UACGAAGGGGGCUAGCGUUGUUCGGAAUUACUGGGCGUAAAGCGCACGUAGGCGGAUUGUUAAGUGAGGGGUGAAAUCCCAGGGCUCAACCCUGGAACUGCCUCUCAUACUGGCAAUCUUGAGUAUGGAAGAGGUGAGUGGAAUUCCGAGUGUAGAGGUGAAAUUCGUAGAUAUUCGGAGGAACACCAGUGGCGAAGGCGGCUCACUGGUCCAUUACUGACGCUGAGGUGCGAAAGCGUGGGGAGCAAACAGG
Molecule: ribosomal RNA, 253 nt
Filed under: uncultured Hyphomicrobiales bacterium
Lineage: Bacteria; Pseudomonadati; Pseudomonadota; Alphaproteobacteria; Hyphomicrobiales
Description: uncultured Rhizobiales bacterium partial 16S ribosomal RNA
Rfam family: Bacterial small subunit ribosomal RNA
Source: RNAcentral